CCUACGGGUGGCAGCAGUGAGGAAUAUUGGUCAAUGGGCGAGAGCCUGAACCAGCCAAGUCGCGUGAGGGAGUACUGCCCUAUGGGUUGUAAACCUCUUUUGUCGGGGAGCAAAUGCCGGACGUGUCCGGCUGUGCGAGUACACGCAGAAAAAGCACCGGCUAUCUCUGGGCCAGCAGCCGCGGUAAUACGGAGGAUGCGAGCGUUAUCCGGAUUUAUUGGGUUUAAAGGGUGCGCAGGCGGAGUUUUAAGUCAGCGGUCAAAUCGUGGGGCUCAACCCCACCCCGCCGUUGAAACUGGGGGUCGUGAGUGUGCGAGAGGUAUGCGGAAUGCGUGGUGUAGCGGUGAAAUGCAUAGAUAUCACGCAGAACCCCGAUUGCGAAGGCAGCAUACCGGUGCACAACUGACGCUCAGGCACGAAAGCGUGGGUAUCGAACAGGAUUAGAUACCCCGGUAGUC
RNAcentral lists this ribosomal RNA (458 nucleotides) under uncultured bacterium. Its description in RNAcentral is "partial 16S ribosomal RNA". It matches the Rfam family "Bacterial small subunit ribosomal RNA", at positions 338 to 795 of the family's 1533-position model. The record is from RNAcentral.